This 450-nucleotide long non-coding RNA is filed under the name Setaria italica (foxtail millet). RNAcentral's name for it is "long non-coding RNA (SITA_LNC006699)". The record is from RNAcentral. Lineage: Eukaryota; Viridiplantae; Streptophyta; Magnoliopsida; Poales; Poaceae.
CGGGAUCUUUCUAGGGGCUUCUGCACAAAACGGCCAUCACAGAGAUGAUGGUGGAUAGGAUUUCCGGGUUCUAUAGGGGCUGUUUACAAAACAUGCGGCUGAGUGGGCCUUUCGCUGACUUGGACGCCUGGUGCACGCCGCAUGGCUGUUUCGGCUGACGUGGUGCUGAUCGCGCUCGCGGACUCAUGAACCAUGCUGACUGGCCGGUUCAUGGGACCAUGGUGGACCGGUAACAGGCGGGGUGAAGGGGUACACCGGGAUUAAAUCUCGGCGGCCCACUGGCGAUCUAACGGCUGGGAAGGGCCGCUCCUAUGUGGUCGCCGAUGGGCAGAAGAACGCGGCGGCAGCUCGCCGGAGUUGAGGCGUGUGCGCGCUACAGGCAACCAUUUUCGACGUGGUUUGGACGGGGAGGGAGAGGGAAACGGGGCGCUUCUCUCCAAGGUGUUCUAG